UCAUCCUAGGUCUUAAUCAUCUCAUAUUGCAGAAAAGAAAACUGAGACCCAGAGAAAGACGUCAGAGGCAGGAUUUAAAUUCUGAAUUUUUGAAUAACCAUUCCACCUUAUUUGUCUCUUAAUUGGACUGACUCUACCCAGGACUUGGGAGUAAGAUAUUUUAUCUGAGUCUCAGAUCUCUGGAUUUUGAAGUGUCUGAAAAUGAUUUAAACUUUUUGAGGUAUCCACUUGGUGUGCUGAAUUUUAGAGGCAGAACAUAGAAAGAGAAAAAAACUUAAGAGAAUUUAUUUCAACUAUCCCUAUUUACAAGAUGGAGAAAAUGAAGCCAAAAUUACAGAUUCUUUUUUGGCUCACCUUCAGUUUAUCGGUCAAUCUUUUUGACUAAUAAAACUUUGGGAAGAUUCUAUUGUCAGAGAGAAGAGGAAAAUAAAAGGGGGAUCCAGGGCUGUUUACCUGGGGAUGCUUCUUGAUCUAUCCUAUUAGCUGACAACAAAGUCCAGAAAAGAAGAAGAAAGAGAUGAAGAGGAUGGUCUGCCCUCCCCAUCUGUUUAUGAUUGAGGUUCCAGGAUUCUACAUUUGGAUGAGUGAGGCAAUCAACUUUGAAUCUUAUAUUGAGUAUUAAUUUAUUUUUAUUUUUGGAGACUGCUUAAAAGAAAAUUGAGAACAUUUACUUAACAGAGGUUCUCACAUGUUUAUAAGGAAGGCCCUACCUAUAGCAAAAAGAUGUACUAGAAGACUUUCCAAGACAAUUUUCAACAUUUUGAUGGACUCAAAUCACUUUGAUGGAUAUGAUGUUUUUUAAAUCAACUUUAACUUACAAUGAUAAAUACAAGAUAUCACAUCUUAUAAUAUG
RNAcentral lists this long non-coding RNA (853 nucleotides) under Sarcophilus harrisii (Tasmanian devil). RNAcentral's name for it is "lncRNA (ENSSHAG00000030627.1)". The record is from RNAcentral. Lineage: Eukaryota; Metazoa; Chordata; Mammalia; Dasyuromorphia; Dasyuridae.